Molecule: transfer RNA, 73 nt
Filed under: Burkholderia sp. lig30
Lineage: Bacteria; Pseudomonadati; Pseudomonadota; Betaproteobacteria; Burkholderiales; Burkholderiaceae
Rfam family: tRNA
About the family: Transfer RNA (tRNA) molecules are approximately 80 nucleotides in length. Their secondary structure includes four short double-helical elements and three loops (D, anti-codon, and T loops).
Source: Rfam by way of RNAcentral
UCCCCGAUAGCUCAGCCGGUAGAGCGCCGGACUGUUAAUCCGUAGGUCCCUGGUUCGAGCCCAGGUCGGGGAG